This 373-nucleotide ribosomal RNA is filed under the name uncultured organism. RNAcentral describes it as "partial 16S ribosomal RNA". It matches the Rfam family "Bacterial small subunit ribosomal RNA", at positions 527 to 896 of the family's 1533-position model. The record is from RNAcentral.
GUAGGUGGCAAGCGUUGUCCGGAAUUAUUGGGCGUAAAGCGCGCGCAGGCGGUCCUUUAAGUCUGAUGUGAAAGCCCACGGCUCAACCGUGGAGGGUCAUUGGAAACGGGGGGACUUGAGUACAGAAGAGGAAAGCGGAAUUCCAAGUGUAGCGGUGAAAUGCGUAGAGAUUUGGAGGAACACCAGUGGCGAAGGCGGCUUUCUGGUCUGUAACUGACGCUGAGGCGCGAAAGCGUGGGGAGCAAACAGGAUUAGAUACCCUGGUAGUCCACGCCGUAAACGAUGAGUGCUAAGUGUUAGGGGGUUUCCCGCCCCCUUAGUGCUGCAGCUAACGCAUUAAGCACUCCGCCUGGGGAGUACGGCCGCAAGGCUG